This 221-nucleotide long non-coding RNA is filed under the name Phaseolus vulgaris (common bean). RNAcentral describes it as "long non-coding RNA (PVUL_LNC000176)". The record is from RNAcentral. Lineage: Eukaryota; Viridiplantae; Streptophyta; Magnoliopsida; Fabales; Fabaceae.
GUGAAGGUAAUAUCCACUUCCGGCGAGUGGUCUUCAAACAUAUCCACCGUCAUCACAGACCUCGCGUACCUCUUCCUCUGUGAUGCGGUGCAUCCACCUCCUGAGAAACCCCCUGCAAUGGUGUGGAUCUCUCCGUGCGUAGGCAUCUCGUGCUGCUGAGCCUCAGCACCUGCUGGUUGGGAGCUCGACGCGCCCCCCGUCCUUCUAUCCAGCAAAUAGUC